AGACACUAGGAUGUGCAAGAAUACAUGAGACCAAGUCGCCAAGAUUCUAGCAAGUAUCAUGAUGAUCACCAAUAUGUACAAGUGAUAGUUGGAGUUUGGUAGUCUUUAUCCUCUUCAAAAAUUGCCCUUUUAGCAAAACAGUAAGGAAAUAAAAAAAGAGAAGGAAAUCAUUGGUAGUCUCACUUUUAUUUCACUUGUUUGUUUUUUGUCCCCAAAGCAAACAACUUCCUGGCAAGGAAGAUAAUUUUUUAAGUCCAUAUUAGUCAUUCCAGAUAUUCACUGAGUCUAGCAAGUCUCAUACAAGUUUCAAAUAUUGGCUGAGUAAAGAUUGUAUUCUGACAUAAAGAGACUCUUAAAUCAACAAUCCUCCAACUGCCUGAUGCAGCGAAGCCCUUCUAGAGGAUUAACAGAAUGAAGGAAAAUACCUUCAUUUUUAAAAGUAAAAGAGGGAUGAUCAGGCAAUAGAAAAAUAUAAUUCUUGUAGAGAAUUAUGUCCCAGCUCUUAACCUCUGACCAUUUCUUCUUUUACCCUCAUUUUAUCAUUUACAUUUUUUUCUAUCCCCCUUUUCUCUCCUCACCCUAAUUGUGCCAUUUAGUCCUCCCUUUCCUUAUUUUUCCAAGGAGACUUUGCUAUAGCAAGGGAUGGUUGCCCCCACCCUGGAAUACUGACUGCAUGAAUAUAAAUCAUUUGUGGGUAGCAGAAUGAGUCGACUGAUUAGGCCCGUAGAUUUGGGAGUGCAUCUCCCCUCCCCCCAGAGCCCCUCUUCCACCCAUAUACAUCUUUGUUGCUGGAUCUCAAUAUAGAUAAUUCACAGGAAGAGGUAAAGGCCACUUGUUUCCCCCAGCAUCCCCUCCUUCCACCAAAACUCACCUCCCUACCCAGUGGAAAGAAAUGAGAUAAUUAGGACUUUUUCCCUUAGAAAAUUUGCAAGAUGAGGCCCGAGAGGUGAAGCAUGCCAGAUGUUGUGGAGAGCAUGACGGAGCAGUCCCUUAGGCCACACAUGCUGAAGUCAUGAGCUUGGGAAAUCUGACUCAGGAGUCGCCGUCCAGGAUUCAGAAGGUUUGCACUCCAUGCUCAUUUUCUCCUGUCUUGAUACAACUUGGCAAACCAAACAGUGACCUCCUUGUUGGCUCUGCUGAACAGUUCUGGGACCCAUGCCAGCGCUCCCUGCAUUCCUUGGAGACAGGAGCACCCUCCUGUGCCCCCUUGGAGAGACAGUCCCCAGACACGGAGCCGAAUUGUCAACGAACCCCACUAGCUUGGUUCUCAAACAAGCUCGGGCACAAUCACCUGGAGAACUUGUCAUGAAUACAGAUUCCAGGCUUUGAGCCCCACAGCCCUGUGUGGACCCCAUGGUGAGUCUGACAGUUGCUGAGAAUCCCUGGCCUGCCAGGCCAGCUGCAUGGAAACUCCUCUCUGAAAUGCAAGUCUGGACUGCUUCCUCCCCUGCUCCCCCUACCCAGCAGGUGCGGACAUUUGCUAGCAGAAGUUCUUUGCUGUACGUCACAGCAUUUUACAACUAGCUUUCUGCAGAACAGUAAAAAACAAAAGAGUUCAACUUAAACAUAGCCAAACAACUUUUACCAGAGCACUAAAGUUGUUUCCUCUCCAGGCUCCGUGCUGGGGAGAUUUGAGCAGCUCUGCUCAAUCUGGACUCUUGGCAAGGUUAGCCUGGGCCCAACAUUUGCAAGAUUCGCAACAGCGACCUGAACCACCACAGGGACCCGAUCUCCCUGGCACAGCAGACCUGUGUGCCUGUGCCGGUGUGGGUGGAGCCUGGCCGAGGCCUCAGGACAGCACAGCCGGGUGUCAGAGUCCCGAGUCAGGCUGGCCCUUGCUGCCUGCUGGCCUUCUGACCUCCACAGCAUGGGUGGUCUUCCUGCUGGCAGAGUACAAGGCUGUGGAGUUCACAGCCCCCUCUGGGAGACAUGACGAAUGGCCUCACUGACAAAACGUGGUCUGCUUUCCAUCUCGGAGCCAUGAACAGCUUCGUUUUCAAAGCACGAAAACAAACCACAGGAACCAGACACAACACAUGCCGGCCACAAAUGAUACAGCCAUUUUCUCCUCUCAAAAUAAGGGACCUGCAAAGUUUCAUUUUCAGAACAAAGAAGAAAAGGGGCAGAGGAGGCCCCCAGGCAAGGAGUGUGGAUGAGAAGAGCCAUCCCUCAGGCUCUGGGGAGCAGAGGGCUGCAGAUGCACGCAUGGGUGUGGAUGUGUGAGCUGAGUGACUGAGGCUGCGGUCAGCAUUACCUGAAGACAAGUCAGCACUGUCUGCCUGUAGGAACCGUGUUCUGGGCACCCGGAUUUCAUCUUCUUCAUGAGGACAACGCCUCAGGCUUCCACAGUGACUUCCUGCAUCACAAGAUUCUGAGAAGCUGGGAGUGAAGGCACCUUUGUUAUGAAGCACACCAAGAGGCAACUAGAAGAGGGCAUCAACCUGCAGAGCACAACCAUGAUGGGCGCCUGUGGCCAGUGAGGGUGUGGAGUGGGGUGGUCCCAGCCAGAAAGGGCCCCACCACACUGCUUAAUGAGGGUGAUGGUUAAGAAAAGACUAAGUGGGUCCUCUUCUGGAAGCAGGUAGGACACUUAGAACAGACAGGAGACGAGUUAAAUGUGUGUUGUAUAAAUGUGAGGACGGAAAGAAGGAAUGGUUGUAAAACACCCGCCACCCCCCUUUUCAGUGACUCGGCUGUGGAAACAGCCAGCCUACAACAAACUAGACUCUUUGAGCAAGUAAGGGUGUGUGGAGAUAGCUUCCAGGUUAAAACAAAAAUCUGACUAAUCCCUGCUUUGCAAAACAUCAGUGGGUGCAUGUAAUACCAGCAAAAUCUGAGCUUUCAAUAAAUCAGAAAACAACGGAGGUAUUGUCUGAACUCACCAAAUGGUUCUUCAUUCCCACAGUGCAGAGCUCUAAUCUGUGCAGCCAAA
Long non-coding RNA from Heterocephalus glaber (naked mole-rat), 2932 nucleotides. RefSeq lists it as uncharacterized. The record is from RefSeq and is a predicted model, not a curated record. NCBI's taxonomy places the organism in Eukaryota, Metazoa, Chordata, Mammalia, Rodentia, Bathyergidae.